UUGGAGAGAUCGUCUAUGCGUGGUGCGUUUUUGAGAGAGACAGAGAGAAAGGCAGCAAACUAUUUGCUUCGUUUAUUUUUUUAGAAAUGAGCCGAGCAGCCCGAAAUAUGAAGCAAAUAAACUUUGGAUUUGAAAUCUCGAAUACCGAUCAUCAAGUUCUUAGCCAACUGCGAUAGAUAGUUUGCCUCUCUAGCUCUCUCUACUAUUACUAAUGGACCGGCCAUGUGAUCUCUAUGUAGAAUGUAUGGUACACACCUUAAUUUUCUUAGGUUCUUGGAAAGGUGCUUCUCACCUCCCAUUAAUUGUGAGGAGGCUUCAAAGAAGCAUGAGCACGACAAAAAGGGGGGAGGAGGGAAAAGAAAUUGGAAAGUUAGAUAGGGACAGCAAUGAGGGUCACCUACUUGGUUUGCCCCAAUGAAGAGCAAAUUGUUUUGUGCCAUUGAUUCAUAUCAUGUGUUUGUUGGCUAUUUAUUAUUAACUAAAAGAGGACCAAUUUUUUGGCCUGCGAUAAUAUGCCCAAAAGACUAAAGGUUGAGUUGGGUAAGUCUAAUAAGUUAAGUGCGGCUGCAGUCCACAAUAGACCUAACGGCAAGAGACCCGACCUAGCAUCCAGAUGGUUGAGUUUGGUUAAAGCCCGUGAGGGCUAGCGCGGCUGAACUCUUAAGUGCGAUAAGUUCGCCCUUCUUAUCAGCACGUAUUUUUUGGAUGGUUGGUUUGCGCUUACGAUCCACAGUAUUUUCGUAACAAUCUUAUGCUUAUUUGUAUAAUUUGAAAUAGCCUAGAUAAAUUUUGUGAUCUACUAUUAAUGAUAUCAGACAUUAUUUCUAAAUAGUUUAAAUAGUUUAGAUCAUGUUCAACGAUAUCGAUCAUCGAUGGAAGCUCGAUUAUCAAAAAAAUUUGAUAGUAAUCCGAGUCGUUUAUUAUAUAUUUCAAAUGCUUCAGAUCAAAUCUAACGGAUUCAAUCGUCGAUUUGGAAGUGCUGGCAUCGAAAAUGACUUGAUAACACUGACGUCAUUGUACUUCUAAAAGUACACAUGUUUAGCUCUCUGGCUGGGGUGCUUUUACAAGCACCAAGGUAUUGGUGCUAUAUAAUUUUUGGAGGCUUCAUCGAAAACAACAAAUCGGUAAUAAUACAGUUCGUUUGUUAUCAAUAGUAUUUUAGUCCAACUACAUACAUAUAUACAUAUAUAUCACUAUAUUCUUUGAAGUCGUUAAAAUAGCAAACCGAAAUUUUUAAUCUGCAGCAUAACUGGGCUCGACGAUAUCUGUAAUUGUUAGAAUAGUUCCAGGAAGAGUGAUGCAACAAGUACAUAAAAUGAGUUAAACAUAACCAUAAACAUUUUACUGUCUAAACUUUUUUGUGCAAAGUUCACAUAAGCUAAUUAAAAACAUACAUCAAUUAUCAAAUUUGAACAAUAUAAAGUCAAGGAUCCAAAUAAGUUGAUUCGGUUCGAUUUUACAUAUAAUUCCGUUCGGUUCGACUCUAAAAGUAAAAAACCAAAAGAACUGAAUAAAUCGAAUAGAUCAAAAUUUUAAUAACUCAAUAAGUAUUAAUCUUUAAUUAUAAAAAAAAAAGAAAGAACUUUAAAUACUAUCUAUGUGGUUUCGCACUUUUUCACUUUAGUAUCCUAUGGUUUAAAGUGUAUCAAUUUAGAAUCCUAUGAUUUUAUUUUUCUCUUUUUAUUAUUCAUUACACUAAUUAUUUUUCGUUAAACCAGUGACAAAGUUAAAACUAAAGCGUAUUAAAAUAAAUAUUCGAUAAAUCUAGAUUGGGUAUCUGAAGUUUUUUAUAUACAAUUUAACAAAAUAUUAACAGAGGAGCUGACAAAAGAGAAAAAUGAAACCACAUGGUACUAACUUGAUACACUUUAAACCACAGGAUACUAAAGUGAGAAACGACGAAACCGCAGGGAUGGUAUUUGAAGUUUACCCAAAAAAAUAUGUACUAAUUUUACAUAAUAAUUAAAUAAUUAGAGAUAUUAAUUAUUCUUAUCUUAGAUUAAUAAUUUUCAACAUAAAAUUAGUUAUGAAUAUAUCUUAUUUUUAGUAGGCUAAAAAGAUUUAAACUAAAUGAAGAUAAUUUACUUAAUUAAAUCAAAUAAAUCGAAUCUAACCUUCGGUUCAGUUUGUGCCUCUAAUUCGGUUCAGUCCGAUAUCUUAAAAAACUGUAAAAAUUAAACCGAACCGAACCGAACCGAACCGACCGAUGCUCACCCCUAAGACUAGUGCCAAUCAAUUCACUGAGCUCAUGAAGCUCAUUACACUCAUCUCCUUUUAAGUUCCAAAAACAACAAAUUCUCUAACUACAAUAAAUUUCUUUGAUAUCAUUAUGACAAUGAAAGGGCAAUGAAACUAAUCCCGGACAAAGUGAUGUGGUUCAUUCCCCUCCUCACCUUUUGCCUCUGCAACAAAAUAGUGUUCAAAGUGGGUACAACCCCGUGCGUAAGAUUCGCUACGCACCGGAUUGAUUUUGACGGACUUUAUUAUAAAAUAAUUCUUUAAAAUUUAUAAUUUACGAAAUAAUUCUGCCAAAUUUAUAUUUAGCAAAUUAAUCCUCUUUUCGUCGUGUAGCAACCACGUGGGAUUAUUUUUCGAAAAGCGGUGAAUCGUUUACCGUGUUUUUCCAUGUCUUUUAAAGGCGGUGAAUCGUUACUUGCAUUGUCCAUUUUUUUUAAAAUGCGGUGAAUCAUUCACCGUUGUCUUCUAUUUCUUAGGCUGUUAAAAUUAUAUGAAAUUAUAUGGAUAAAUUAUUAGAAUUUUCAGGCUGUUAAAAUUAUAUGUGAUUUGUUAAAAUUUUUAUGUGAUUGUUAGUAUUAUAUAUGAGAUAUAGAAAGAAACAAUAAAUAAGUGAAAGGUGGUGAAUGAUUCAGCAUCUUUGUGAAAAAUUAAGAAGGCGAUGAAUAAUUCACCGUCUUCAAAAAAAAUCUUCACCCUGGCGCCUACAUACCAAAAGGAAGGUUAGGAUUAUUUUGCAAAUUAUCAAAUUUUAGAGAAUUGUUUUGUAAAAAAAAUCUGAUUCUGAUGCUGAAUUUUAGUAGAAUUAAUCUGCACCGUCUAUAUCGAAUCGUACAGAUUAAUCAUACUAAAAUUCACCAGCUGAACAAACAGAGUUGUAUGAAAUUUAAUAAAAUCUUGCGUGUAUAUUACAAAAGACUCUUUUCUCUCUCUCUCUCUCUCUCUCUCUUAUUUUUCUAAUUAAAUAUAUAAUUGCUGUGCCAAAAAGUACAAUAUAAAAUCUAUCACUUCAUUGAGAGGGAUGUAUCAAGCUUAGAGUCCAACAUCACAUUUAAACACAGGUACUGUGUAGGCUAGGGUGUAUUUGAGCUGUCUUAUUUAACAUGAAAACUCCUUAAAAAGAGCCAUAAAAUAAAAUAUAGGUUAAAUUACAUAAAACUCUCUGUAACUAUUUCACUUUUUAUUUUUUCUUUCGGAGUUUCAAAACUUUAUAUUUUGUCUCUUUAAAAUUGUAAAAAAUAUUUUCAGAGGGUUACCAUAUUAAUAGAGAGGGCAAAAUGAUCAAAUUAUUAUUAUUUUUAUAUAAGAAAAAAAUAAUUUUUAAUAUAUUUUAUUAUUUUAGAGAAUAUUUUCGGUAUAAAUUAUAAAAAAAAAAAGAUAGAAUAGUGAUAGAAUCCUAAGGGAGGAGGCUAAAUGAAAUAACUUGAAAUGUUAAGGUGUAAAAAUGUAGAUUUUUUGAAAAUUUAAGAGAAAAGGUACAAAAAAAAAGAUACUUAUCAAAAAUUUACAAGCAAUAUAUAUAUAUAUAUAUAUAUAUAUAUAUAAUUGAGCUCCUAUGCUUUUAAAAGUACCAAGCACUUGAUACUUGGUACAGCUGGAAUACUAUCGAUAGUAUAAAGUGUUUGGUGCGAGUUUUCCGCCGUUAGAUUUAACCCUUUGAUUAUUUUCAUCCGUUAGAUUAUAUUAUUUAACCAAUAACUCACUUAACCCUAGGGGGACUCACAUUAUUCUAACUGUAUAUUUUCUCAUUCAUAAAUCGAAAACCUAAUAACACUAAUAAUUUGAUGCUAUUAAUAGUAUUCCAGCCUAGUUCUAUAUAUAUAUAGAGUUGGACUGGGCUACUAUUAGUAGCAAAAUUUCAUUAUUGCUAUCAGUUUUUUAGCCUUUGGAUCAACUCUUUUCAUCAUUUCUAACCAUUGGAUUAAAUACUAUAACCCAGUAGGGACCACUCAACCCUAGGGGGACCACUCAACUCUAACUGACUAAUAUCAACCUAACCUUACAAUUUUUUAUCCAAGGGUUAAAAACUUGAUAGCAAAAAAAGUGUUUUACUAGUAAUAGUAUUCCAGCUUAAUUAUAUAUAUAUAUAUAUUAUAACAUAUUGAUUUCUGUUUGUUAUAGAUAUAAUGACAAAUUUCACUUACAAAGUGAUUUUUCUUAUUUCCAAAAAAUAAACUUAUAUACAUAAUGAAUACGCUACUAGUAUCUAUUAUAAACUUAAUUUCGAUGUGGAGACAGGGUCUUAAUGAAUGUACAAAUCAUGUGACCCUGUGUGUGCUUCAUGUCUAGCUAACACAGCACUACUAUUUUGUGGUUCUCAUAUGCUGUGCAAUGAAUUGUUCCUACUUUUUUAAAAAAAAUACUCUUUUCAUUCUUAAUGAGAAUGAAUUAAAUCUUGGUCAAAUAAAGAGGCUUAUUGUGCAUAUUGUAGCAAAAUUCACAUGGGCCUGCAGUGUGUACAGCUACAACAAUAACAUCGUGACAAUGGCAAUAAUAAUAUUAAGUUUAUAUAAUUAAUGCUACUGCUCUGUUCAUUAAGCUAUGAAUUAAUGCAUGAGGGUUUAUUUAUUGUUACUUUGGUGGCUACAUGGGGAAAAGAGAAAAGUAAUUAAAGAACAAAAAGUAUUCAAACAAUCUCUAUGCCCCUUCCUUUUUCAUUUUUUUCUUAAAAACGAACUCUGCUAAAAUUAUAAAGUAAUUGAGUUUCAAACUUAAAAUAUCAUAUACCAGCCAUUAAGUUCUUACUCAAUUUAUAUGGUUGGUGUGUAUAUAUAUAUAUUCGAAAUUGGAGACAUGAUUUUGGUGUGUAUAAUGAAAAAUCUAAGAUGUUUGGGGCUCGUAUUGCUUUAUCGGGAAAUUAGCUUUAUAUGGAUAUUGUGAGAUAGGUUCGAUCGAGAGAUCAAAUUGGCGGUUUGACUUGACUCAAGAUGAAUUUUUCGGCGAGCUUUUAGACAACUAAGCAAAAGAACAACUACUUAACUAGCUAUUACUUUUCUAGCCACCAUUUUACGACAUAAGAAGAGCAAAGUUGAUCGACAGUAGAGAUAUUUUGACGGCUUCAACCAUCAUAUUAUAGUCUUAGAAAGAGAAGCUCUGAAACACAUUCGUGCUAUUCCAAACCUUCUACAGCAUCACUGAAACUCCACCAUUUUACAGUACUAAUAAAUGAGGCCUAAAUACACCGCUCGUAGACAACUUCGAUGGAGAAUGGAGGCCCACUUACUUAUAAGGCCUUGUAUAGUUGCGCUCGCCUUUUUUUUUACUUGAUCAUGCAAAAUUUGAAUAUAUAAAAACUACAUAACCAAAACCAAAUUGGGCUUGCAUUUUAGGGCCUCAUAUGGGCCUAGUAACCAAAAUUUGGGCCAAAAGCCGACCCACAACGAAGCCCAUUAUGAUGGGCUUAACUAACCAAACAUUUUUUUAUGUGGUAGAUGAACCAACGAAGUAGUUGCUGCUAACACUAUUUCUGAGUCAUUUCUCGCAUAAUUGAUUUUUCAGAAAAUGUGGUCUUAGUGCAGAUCCUAGUCCUAAGCUCCCAACAUCAAUUUUUCUUUUUUUUUAAUUUGAUUAGAAUGAACAAUUUUGCGCUAAGUAAUAAAGCAAAGUGACAGCUAAAGAUAGUCGCAAAAGAUCAUUAAGUUACAUAUAAAGGUGGUUGAACCAAAUAUAUUGUGAGAUCAUAUAGAAAAUCAAAAAUUUUGUGGUGAUAUGCAUUGUGUAAACACCCUAUACUUGGUUUUUUCACAGUAAAAAAUAAAUAAAUAAAAUGUGAGUUGCACAUGAGCUACAAGUCUUUUGAGAUCAAUGCCUGUCCCUUAGAGGAAGUUCAUGGUUUCUAAAGGGCUCAAACCAAUCCAUAACUCAAGCUCAUGGUUUGGUUUGAGUCCUUAAUAAAAGUUUAGAAUGACAUCUAAGCUUGGUUAACACUUUCGUCUAUUUUCAAACUCAAUUGCUUCCCUUUCAGCGCUAUGUCAGUCCAGUUUUAUUCGGUUCUUGUCCGUUUCUUCUUAAGGUCAUAUCUAAAUGUCGGAAUAACUUAUUCCGUAUAUAUAAAAAAGAAAAUCAAUAUGAUUGAAAGGAGCCCCGGCUACUAUACUCUUAUGAGUACGAUCAUCUUUAUACUCAUGAGUUGUUUUUUGUGAUAGAGCUUCCGAAUCGACGAUCCAUUCCGUUAAACAUUAUCUAGAGUAUUUAAAACUUCUAGAAAUCAAAUUUUAUAAUUUUUCGAUAUCAUUUGCCUUACGAUCAAAAGCUCACAAAAUUGACAAUUUUUAACGACCAGUGUGGAAUAUUUGCUAGUUUAACAAUGUAAAAGAAUCGGAAUAGAUUGAAUAUUUGAUAGAAAAUUCUAUUCACUACCUAAAUAAAGAUUAAUAACCCCGAUCUUAAAUUGAAGGAUCUGAUUAUCUAUUCUUAGGAGGUCGUUCGAUUUUGACCGUUCAUUUUAUACCCGCUUGAUGGGCUUUAUAAUGAUUUCAAAAAUUUACGAAAUUUAUUUUCUAAAAGUUUCAAAUAUUCUAGAUUAUAUUUAACAGUGUGGAUCGUCGAUUCGAAAACCCCAACAUCAAAAAUAACUUAUGAGUACAAAGGACUCUAUACUAAUAAAAGUAUAAUAGUCCUACUCGAUUGAAAGUAAGAAGUUUAAGUUUUACUUUUUUAAAAACCUUGUUAUUUAUAAUUUGAUAGGAUAGUAUAUUAAUAGGAUAGUAUAUUUCACCUAUAAGGUAUUUUUUCUUUUUCGAAAAACUAACUUAAAUGCCGAAUUGAUCACAAUCCUUAUUAAUCAAAUAUACAAAUUUCUCAAAAGAAUUAAGAAGAUAUAUCGAAAAACAUAUUCAUGCAUUCCGACGGAGCCUAGUUCUUACAUAACCACACUGAGCUUGUCUAGCAUGUCAAUAAGGCCUAGAACACCAUAAAAAGAAUAUUAGUACCGAUUAAAAACGAAAAUAAGUGUGAGACGUACCUCAGAUAGUUCUAUAUAUAAAUAUAAUAUAAUAUAAUAGAGCUACAUUUUUAACUUGGCUUAAGUAUUUUGGGUGAUAAUUAGGGUCAAGAGGUUAAGAGAGUUAAGCGUAUUAGGAGCAUAGUAGUCCUAGCUAUGAUGGAUAACUUCCUAGAAAGUUGGGGCGUCACAGUUGGUAUCAGAACCAAUUACCAGCCGGAAGUGUGAGAUGAGUCUCGGCUGAGUUAGGAAGACUAGCAAGAGGAGUCUCAAAUCGCCUGAUACUUGUGAGUCUGAGCCUGACGAGAACGUCAGGAUUUAAAGGAAGGGAGAUUGUGAGACCCCAGAUAAUUCUAUAUAUAAGAUAUAAUAGGGCUAAACUCUUAAUCCUACUCAAGCAUUUUGGGUAGUAGCUAGGUUUAAGAGAUUAAGAGAGUUAAGCGUGUUAGGGCGAAAGUAGUCUAAAAUUAGGGCGUCACAGUCAGUCUCUCCUGUGGUCCUUCUUGUGCAGAUUUUAAGAUAGCAAGCAUUACUGGCACAAUUAUGUGUUCUUGAAAUGUGUCGGAGCACCAUGCAUGAUACCUGAUCAACAAGCAUUUAUUGGAGAUUAGGAUCCAUCCCAUCGACUCGGUCCACCGCAUAAUAUUGCUCUUACUGGUUGCUGACGCUCGAUGUACAUAACAUAAAAGAUUUUAAUCCGUUAAACCGCACACAGAUAUAUAUGUUAUAUAUGAUUGCUCGCACAUUAGUGGCCUUAUGUUAAGAGUUUACACAUAAAUUCUCCCCGCAUCAGAUAAUCAUAAAAGUACUAGAGGAUAUAAAUCUAAUAGACAUAAAGCUUUUAGAUUGAAUGAGUUUUACUAGAUAUAUAGCAUCUUUGGACUCAAUGUGGGACUUGGGAGUCCCACACUGAACCACCGUGCAUGAGUGAGUAGUCCUUCGUCUUCACUCCUUUAAUGGAGCUACUGCCGACAUGCAUGUUCAAAUUGAAUGCGGAUGCUGAGAACCAAUUCAGAGGUACAAAAACAAUAACUUUUUUUAAAAAAAGUUAUUGUCCGGCGCAUCUAAUUCAGAUACAAUUUAUUUGAAUCUCAAAAUAGCAUUUAUGCUAUUCAACGGUAGUGAGAGUUGCGUCUAACCAUUUUUUUUUCUCUCAAUUCUAAGCCAACAUGUGGCACAUCUUCUUUACUGGAUGUUAAUAAGCUCGAUUAAGUUCUUAAUGAGCCCACCAGUUAGAUCUUAUAUCUUAUUAACCAUUAACAACCUCAAAGUUCUAAAUUGGAUCACGUAGUAUUCGUGUUGAUUAAUCUAGUCUAACAGAGCUGAUCGUCGAUUUAGAAGCCGCAUCAUUGAAAACAACUUGGUAAUGCGGAGGUCUCAAUACUACCGAUAGCAUACCAGUCUAGCUCUCUCUCUCUCUCUCUCUCUCUCUCUCUCUCUCUCUUUAUAUAUAUAGAGAGAGAGAGAGAGUUGAGUUGGAAUACUAUCGGUAGCAAACGGACUCCUUUGCCACCCAUUUGUUUUCGAUGAUGGAGCCUUCAAAUCGACGAUCUACACCGUUGAACAUGAUCUAUACCCCUUAAAGUAUCUAGAAACUAAAUUACAAAUCUUUUCAACAUCAUUUACCUAAUAAUCAACGGGUUUCAAAUUUUAUAAUUUUAGUGGUAAAUAUAAGGCGUUUUCUCAUUUAACGGUAUAAACUUAUCCAAAUCAAUUGAAUUUUGGUUAGAAAAUUCUUUAAACUAUUUAGAACAAGAUCUAUACUAUCGAUCUUAAUUAUAAAAUUUCUAUCCUCUCUUUUUAGAGGAUAUUUAUUUUCAGCCGUUCAUUUUUACGCCCACUUGAUGGAUAAGAGAACAAUAUAGAAAAAGUAUGAAAUUUGAAUUCUAGAUACUUCAAAUGGUAUAGAUUAUUUUCAACGGUGCCGAUCGUCGAUUUGGAGGUUCCAUCAUCGAAAACAAAUGGGUGGAAACGGAGCCUGUUUGCUACCGAUAGUAUUGCAGCUCAACUCUCUCUCUCUCUCUCUCUCUCUCUAUAUAUAUAUAUAUAUAUAUAUAUGCUACUAUACUAUCGAUAGUACCAAGUGAUUAGUGCUAUCGACUUUUCAGUCGUUGGAUGAAAUGAUGUGCAGUUAAGAUGAUUGCGAUCCCUUAGGGUCGACUUUUCAGUCGUUGGAUGAAAUGAUGUGCGGUUAAGAUGAUUGCGAUCCCUUAGGGUUGAGUGGGUGAUUAGUUGAAUAGUAUAAUCUAACGGAUGAAAAUGAUCAAAGGAUAGAUGUAAUGGCAGAAAAAUCGAUAGUACUAAGAGUUUGGUACUAUCGAUAGUAUAGCAGUAGUACUCUAUAUAUUAUGAUUAAAUGGUAGAUUUAACGAUAGAAAAUUCGAUAGUGCCGCUUUUAAUACUAUCGAAUUUUUUACCAUUAUAUCUACCAUUUAAUCAUUUUUAUCAAUUAAAUUAUACUAUUCAAUCAACUGCUCACUCUUUUGGAUGCAAUUUACGAGAAGCUAUAAAUGGGGGGAAGUGAGGUGGAAGUAGGCUUAUCCUACACUCCUGGCCCAUGCUCAUUUAUGGUCGCAAUAAAUUUUGUAGCAGAUUGUCAGAUUAAUCAGUCUCCUACGUACUAUUCUCUGCAUUUUAUUUAACUCAGGUGAGACCAUACAUCAAUCUAGUAAGAAAUAAUUCUGAGACAAUAAAAAUACAAUAAACAAUCUAACUCGAUACCUCUAGAUCAAUCUAGUAAAAAAAAAUUCCGAAGCAAUAGAACUACAGCAAAUAUUCAAACUGGAAACCUCUUGAAACAGGAGGAACUAACAACUGCUGCCUAUGUUACCAUAUUAAUUGCUCAAGAAAUUGAUCUGAUAUAAAAAUAAUUCAGAAUUAGUUUUAACCGAAGUGGUUGAUAAGAACGUAAAUAUGAAUAGUUUUACGUCAAAUAAUGAUUCAAAUGCACUAGGAGAUCCAAAUUUAAUAAAAUUUAAUGUCAGGACUUAGAAAUUUUUUUUAAGAUUUGUCUUUGUAAUCACUCAAAUUUCAAACCAGAUAUCUAUUGAAGAUUUUGCCUUGAUCUUCUAAAAGCAUCUCUGUGAAUUUCGGAAAGCUCGUAGCCUUUCUUUUUCGCUUGUAUUUUCAUGCCGCUUGACAUCUUUCUGUUUCCUUUAUGAGCGGUGAUUGAUCUUUAAAUAAAUGUGGCUCCACCCCCUCUCAAUUCAAAAUCUUGAUUUGUAAUCCUCUACUUUUUUCUUUUUUUGAGAGAGAGAGACAGGUGGCACGCUACCUCCGCUUCAUUUAUUUCAUUUAGAAAUAAACUUAGCUAGAAAUGUAAAUCAAUUAGAAUUCGAACUUGGGACCUCGAGUACCAAUCAUCAAGCCCUUACCACUUGCGCUAGGAACGGUCGGUGUAAUCCUCUACUUCAAAGUAAUAAAAGAACUUUUUUUUCUCUCUCUCUCUCUUGUUCUUAUUUAAGAACGAAUAGAUCCUAACUUAGCAAGUAUAGAGAUAAGUUUGCUCACUUUACGAAAAAAGGCGAGCAUCGCACGGACUGAACAAGCGAUUUAGCUUAAGUCCAUGACAUUAAACUCUAUAUUGAAUGGUAUUAGAGUUGGUGGUGUGGUCCGAUCUGAGUUAACCAGGUUCAAAUUGAACAUGUUUUUGAGCUAACAUUUUAGGCAACACACCUGUCACAUUUUUGCUCUUCAAUUAGUAGUUAAACGCAUUAAUAUUUUAGGUAACACACACUUCUCAGUUCUCACUUAGCUCUUCCAUAAAUUGGUGGUAGCUACACUCACUUAUUGCUCUUCCAACCUGUUCCUCUCCAGUAAUAUUCAUUCGCUCUUUUGCUACGUUUCCCUGUAGAUCCAUGUGACCAUGUCACUCAAUACUUGGUCCCAAUUCGACUACGUACUCCAAAACUGUACCUAACGCAGUCGGCUAAAAAUUUUAAUGAUCGGUAUCUGAGAUCUUAAGUUAAAAUUCUAAUUGUUUUAUGUUUCUAGCUCAGUUCGUUCUUAAAAAUGAACGAAAUUGAUAGGUUACUACUGUCUUUCUUUCUCGUGAAAGAAAAUUCGUGCAUGAAAUAUCUGAUUUCUCAAAAAAAGUAUAGAAAAUUAUUUUCUCGACAUUAUAUAUUUUUUUUGUUCCUUGGAUACAAAGUUAAAAAAUGAAAUAAUAUCUAGAAUUUUUUUAAAAAAUAAUUUUUAAAAAAAUGAAAAAGAGGAAAAAUAUGGUUUCAUUCAAAAAAGUUAUAUUUUACAGUAUUUUUGGAAAAAUAAACACUCCGUAACUAUGCAUCAAUUAAUGCACUGCACACACCACGAAUCCCUUGUCCCCAACUCCCAACUACUUUUCGUCCUUCUUUAAAAAUAGGGUGUUCACAUAACAUUUAUUUUCACACACUAGAGAAUUUAGAAAUUUCAAAAAUGUUUUUUAAGUUUUUUUUUUAAAAUCUUUUAGUAACUUUAAAAUGAUAGGUAGAUUUAUCAUUAGAAAAGUAUUAGGUUCAAAUACUUAUCUCGAUCAAAUUUUUAUUAUUAUUAUUAUUUUAUAAUAUUAGAUGAGAGGAAAUUAAUGUAAAGUGUUUUAAUUAAUUCUAUGUCGUAAGCAUUUUGAACAAUGCAUUCGCAAAUUAAGCUGUAUAUUUCUACUCAGAUAGUUUAAAAAUGAUCUGAAUAAGUCUUAUGUUAGAGAUGAAUAAAUCAUAUCAUGUGUAAUAAAGAUAUAAAUAAUCAACGUGACGCGUAUUAUAUGACAUAGAUUUCGGCUAAGACAAAGAGUGCACUAAUUAAUUAACAAACUAUUACCUAAAUCAGAUCUCAAACUAACUUGGAUUGUAAAUGCGGAUCAGUUGUAGAAUCAAUUUUUUUACUAAUCGGAUCGCAAAUUUACAUUAGUUAGAAGAGUAGUAAGAGAAUUUAAAAAAAGUACGAAAAAUAAUAUAUAUAUAUAUAUAUAUAUAUAUAUAUAUAUAUAUAUAUAUAUAUAUAUAUAUAUAUAUAUGAGAGCCUUCGCGGAAUGAUUUGUUAGGAGUUGAGCUAGAAUACUAUCGGUAGUAAACGAGCCGUUUUAUUACCGAUUUGUUUUCGAUGAUAGAGCUUCAAAAUUGACGAUCGGCUCCGUUAAAUAUGAUCUAAACCAUUUAAACUACCUAGAAAUCAAAUUUCACGCACUUUUGAUAUUGUUCUUUUAUCCAUCAAGUGAAUAGAAAAAUAAAUGACUGAAAAUAAAUACUCUUUAAAAAAUGAUGAUAGGAGUCUUGUAAUUAAGAUCAAGAGUAUAGAUCUUGUUUUAAAUAGUUUAAAGAAUUUUCUAACAAAAAUUCAAUUAAUUUGGAUAUCUUUAUGCCGGUAAAUAAGAAAACGCCUCUUAUCGACCAUUAAAAUUACAAAUUUUGAAACCCUUUGAUCAUUAGACAAAUGAUGUCGAAAAGAUUUGAAAUUUAAUUUCUAAACAUUUCAAGUGGUAUAGAUCAUGUUCAACGGAGCCGAUCGUCAAUUUGAAAGCUCUAUCAUCGAAAAUAAAUCGGUCGUAAAACGGCUCGUUUACUACCGAUAGUAUUCUAGCUCAACUCGAUAUGUUAGUGUAUAUAUGCUUUUCACGUGAGGUGAAAUAUAAGGCGCUGUCACUUUUUUAGUUUUUUUUUUAAUUUUAAUUUUUGUAUAAUUUGAUAUAUGGAAUAAAUUUUUUCUCUUAUUAUUAUUAUUAUUAUUAUUAUUAUUGGUUAGGUUACUAAGCGCUCUGUCCAAGUGAAAGUGAUAACUUAUUUAAAAACUAUUUUAGAAGUAGAAAAAAAUUAUUUUUAAAUUUUUAUUUUUUAUUGUCGAAUAAAUAUUUUAGAUUUAA
This 13013-nucleotide long non-coding RNA is filed under the name Ananas comosus (pineapple). RNAcentral describes it as "long non-coding RNA (ACOM_LNC020577)". The record is from RNAcentral. Lineage: Eukaryota; Viridiplantae; Streptophyta; Magnoliopsida; Poales; Bromeliaceae.